RNAcentral lists this ribosomal RNA (305 nucleotides) under uncultured bacterium. Its description in RNAcentral is "bacterial SSU rRNA". It matches the Rfam family "Bacterial small subunit ribosomal RNA", at positions 337 to 659 of the family's 1533-position model. The record is from RNAcentral.
UCCUACGGGGGGCAGCAGUGGGGAAUAUUGCACAAUGGGGGGAACCCUGAUGCAGCAAUGCCGCGUGGGUGAAGAAGCACUCCGGUGCGUAAAGCCCUGUCAGCAGGGAAGAAAAUGACAGUACCUGGACAAGAAGCCCCGGCUAACUACGUGCCAGCAGCCGCGGUAAUACGUAGGGGGCAAGCGUUAUCCGGAUUUACUGGGUGUAAAGGGAGCGCAGGCGGCGUGGCAAGUCAGAAGUGAAAGCCCGGGGCUCAACCCCGGGACUGCUUUGGAAACUGUAUGGCUGGAGUGCUGGAGAGGCA